This 72-nucleotide transfer RNA is filed under the name Camelus bactrianus (Bactrian camel). It matches the Rfam family "tRNA". From Rfam's summary of the family: Transfer RNA (tRNA) molecules are approximately 80 nucleotides in length. RNAcentral also lists the same sequence under 2 other names. Lineage: Eukaryota; Metazoa; Chordata; Mammalia; Artiodactyla; Camelidae. The record is from Rfam by way of RNAcentral.
AAGGGUGGAGCUCAGUGGUAGAGUGCAUGCUUAGCAUGCACAAGGUCCUGGGUUCACUCCCCAGUACCUUUA